AAGUCGGUGUUUGGAGAAAAGGACUCAGGCACCCACCGUUUCUGUUUUCUUCUGUUAUCCUUCCAGAGAUUUUCUAUGCCUAAACACCAUUUGAAGCCAUGAAUGUAUAGUGAUGAGGGGUUUUUUACAGUUGCACAUGACUGGGAAUAGAAAUGCAAUUAGAUAUUGAGAAUAUUGAUGAGCCAAUAGGAGCUGAUGGGUUAGAAAAAUAAGGAGGUGAAGAGAAUCCAGGAUUUUAAGGUUUAAGUGAAGUUAGAGACUAGAUUUGGAGCGAGUAAGAGAAGAUACAGAAUUCUAUUUAAAAGAUUCAGAACUGGGAAAAUUAGAACUAGCAUUAGUUUUAACUGAAAUCAUAUAAUGCAUGUGUUCAUACCAAGUAGAACAAAAAUGGCCUUUUUUUCUCUCAUAUUUAAACUCCACAUUAUCUACUGUAAUGUUCCACAAAGAGCACAUGUUUAGUAAAUAUUGCCUUUAGUGUCCAAUUAUGUUUGAGCUUGCUGUAGAGUUUA
RNAcentral lists this long non-coding RNA (509 nucleotides) under Homo sapiens (human). RNAcentral's name for it is "non-protein coding lnc-MTIF2-3:4". The record is from RNAcentral. Lineage: Eukaryota; Metazoa; Chordata; Mammalia; Primates; Hominidae.